AUUUUAAGAAGAUCCAUGGGACCAGUGUUAUUCUCCUUUUCUAUUGACUCCAAGCAACAGCACAGGGAGAGCCAAGACUUUCCAAAAGACCUGUACAACGGAGGCCAGCAUCAUGAAACACAAACUCCCAAACCAGCAUGGUAACAUGAAACACAAACUCCCAAACCAGCAUGGUAACACACAGGACUUCUUCUGAUUCUUCUUAUGUUCUUGGGUCUUGCCUGUGGUUCUACACGCAUCCAGAAAUGCAGACAAAGAACAGCUUGGCCUUUAACAGUCGGAAGCCUCUGAUUUUACUCUACUAAGCCUCAGAUACAGUCUGUUUUCUGUUCUCAUUCAGUCAUU
Syngnathus typhle (broad-nosed pipefish) is the source of this 345-nucleotide long non-coding RNA. RefSeq lists it as uncharacterized. Lineage: Eukaryota; Metazoa; Chordata; Actinopteri; Syngnathiformes; Syngnathidae. The transcript has 3 exons. The record is from RefSeq and is a predicted model, not a curated record.